GAAGGUGGCCUGUGAGGGUUGCUGGAGGUAUCAGAAGUGCGAAUGCUGACAUAAGUAACGAUAAAGCGGGUGAAAAGCCCGCUCGCCGGAAGACCAAGGGUUCCUGUCCAACGUUAAUCGGGGCAGGGUGAGUCGACCCCUAAGGCGAGGCCGAAAGGCGUAGUCGAUGGGAAACGGGUUAAUAUUCCCGUACUUGGUGUUACUGCGAAGGGGGGACGGAGAAGGCUAUGUUGGCCGGGCGACGGUUGUCCCGGUUUAAGCGUGUAGGUGUGUGUUCCAGGUAAAUCCGGUUCACUUUAACACUGAGGCGUGAUGACGAGGCACUACGGUGCUGAAGCAACAAAUGCCCUGCUUCCAGGAAAAGCCUCUAAGCAUCAGGUAACAUCAAAUCGUACCCCAAACCGACACAGGUGGUCAGGUAGAGAAUACCAAGGCGCUUGAGAGAACUCGGGUGAAGGAACUAGGCAAAAUGGUGCCGUAACUUCGGGAGAAGGCACGCUGACAUGUAGGUGAAGUGAUUUACUCACGGAGCUGAAGUCAGUCGAAGAUACCAGCUGGCUGCAACUGUUUAUUAAAAACACAGCACUGUGCAAACACGAAAGUGGACGUAUACGGUGUGACGCCUGCCCGGUGCCGGAAGGUUAAUUGAUGGGGUCAGCGCAAGCGAAGCUCCUGAUCGAAGCCCCGGUAAACGGCGGCCGUAACUAUAACGGUCCUAAGGUAGCGAAAUUCCUUGUCGGGUAAGUUCCGACCUGCACGAAUGGCGUAAUGAUGGCCAGGCUGUCUCCACCCGAGACUCAGUGAAAUUGAACUCGCUGUGAAGAUGCAGUGUACCCGCGGCAAGACGGAAAGACCCCGUGAACCUUUACUAUAGCUUGACACUGAACAUUGAGCCUUGAUGUGUAGGAUAGGUGGGAGGCUUUGAAGUGUGGACGCCAGUCUGCAUGGAGCCGACCUUGAAAUACCACCCUUUAAUGUUUGAUGUUCUAACGUGGACCCGUAAUCCGGGUUGCGGACAGUGUCUGGUGGGUAGUUUGACUGGGGCGGUCUCCUCCUAAAGAGUAACGGAGGAGCACGAAGGUUGGCUAAUCCUGGUCGGACAUCAGGAGGUUAGUGCAAUGGCAUAAGCCAGCUUGACUGCGAGCGUGACGGCGCGAGCAGGUGCGAAAGCAGGUCAUAGUGAUCCGGUGGUUCUGAAUGGAAGGGCCAUCGCUCAACGGAUAAAAGGUACUCCGGGGAUAACAGGCUGAUACCGCCCAAGAGUUCAUAUCGACGGCGGUGUUUGGCACCUCGAUGUCGGCUCAUCACAUCCUGGGGCUGAAGUAGGUCCCAAGGGUAUGGCUGUUCGCCAUUUAAAGUGGUACGCGAGCUGGGUUUAGAACGUCGUGAGACAGUUCGGUCCCUAUCUGCCGUGGGCGCUGGAGAACUGAGGGGGGCUGCUCCUAGUACGAGAGGACCGGAGUGGACGCAUCACUGGUGUUCGGGUUGUCAUGCCAAUGGCACUGCCCGGUAGCUAAAUGCGGAAGAGAUAAGUGCUGAAAGCAUCUAAGCACGAAACUUGCCCCGAGAUGAGUUCUCCCUGAGACUUUAAGUCUCCUGAAGGAACGUUGAAGACGACGACGUUGAUAGGCCGGGUGUGUAAGCGCAGCGAUGCGUUGAGCUAACCGGUACUAAUGAACCGUGAGGCUUAACCUUACAACGCCGAAG
RNAcentral lists this ribosomal RNA (1707 nucleotides) under Salmonella enterica subsp. enterica serovar Oranienburg. RNAcentral's name for it is "bacterial LSU rRNA". It matches the Rfam family "Bacterial large subunit ribosomal RNA", at positions 1252 to 2925 of the family's 2925-position model. The record is from RNAcentral. Lineage: Bacteria; Pseudomonadati; Pseudomonadota; Gammaproteobacteria; Enterobacterales; Enterobacteriaceae.